CGGGUGAGUAAUGGUAAGGAAUCUACCCCAAAGGGAAGAAUAGCUCGCCGAAAGGCGGGGUAAUCCUGCAUAUGACCGCAAGGUUAAAGGGCAUAACUGCCCGCUUUGGGAGGAGCCUUACUCCUAUCAGCUAGUUGGUAGGGUAACGGCCUACCAAGGCUAUGACGGGUAGCUGGUGUGAGAGCACAACCAGCCACAAUGGCACUGCGACACGGGCCAUACACCUACGGGUGGCAGCAACCGGGAAUAGUCGGCAAUGGACGAAAGUCUGACCGCGCAACGCCGUGUGAGGGAUGAAGCCUUUCGGGGUGUAAACCUCUUUUAUUUUGACAUAAUGUCGAUUUGAAUAAGCACCUACUAACUACGUGCCAGCAGUCGCGGUAAUACGUAGGGUGCAAGCGUUAUCCGGAUUUACUGGGCGUAAAGAGUCGCGUAGGCGGUUUACCGCAUCUUAUCUUAAAUAGCCCUGCUUAACGGGGUUCCGGAUAAGAGAUGGGUAGACUUCGGGUCCGUUGGAGUUUCUGGAACUUCCGGUGUAGCAGUGAAAUGCGUUGAUAUCGGAAGGAACACCAAGAGCGAAGGCAAGAAACUAGUCGGAUCCUAACGCUGAGGCACGAUAGCUAGGGGAGCGAAGCAGAUUAGAGACCUGCGUAGUCCUAGCUGUAAACGCAUGAGUGCUAGAUGCCCCGCUCGCAAAGUCGAAGACUUUGCGGAGUUUAUAGAGGGGGGUGUCGCAAGCUAACGCAUUAAGCACUCCGCCUGGGGAGUACGGCCGCAAGGUUGAAACUCAAAGGAAUUGGCGGGGACCCGCACAACCGGUGGAGCAUGUGGUUUAAUUCGAGACGAAGCGAAAGACCUCACCACGGUUUGACAUGUUAUCGUUUAUUCCGCCAGAAACGGUGGAAAAUCCGUAAGGAAGAUAACAAAGCUGCUGCAUGGCUGUCGUCAGUUCGUACCGUGAGGUGUUCCCUUAAGUGGGGUAACGAGCGCAACCCUUGCCCCGAGUUAAAUUUGUCUCGGGGGACGGUCCCGAUGUAUAUCGGGAAGGAAGGUGGGGACGACGUCAAGUCAGCACGGCGCUUAUGCCGUGGGCCACACACAUCCUACAAUGGCGAAAAACAAUGAGUCGCAAGAGGGCGACCUCAAGCAAAUCUCUGAAAUUUCGCCUCAGUUGGGAUUGGAGUCUGCAACUCGACUCCAUGAACACGGAAUCGGUAGUAAUCGCGGAUCAGCAGGUCGCGGUGAAUACGUUCUCGGGUCUUGCACACACCGCCCGUCAAGCCAACAAAGUCGAGGGCGGUCGAUGUCCCGAUGUACUUCGGGAUGAAGCCGAACUCGGCGAUGGGGACUAAGUCGUAACAAGGUAACC
This 1369-nucleotide ribosomal RNA is filed under the name uncultured bacterium. RNAcentral describes it as "bacterial SSU rRNA". It matches the Rfam family "Bacterial small subunit ribosomal RNA". The record is from RNAcentral.